GAGACUCUGUGCGCGUGCAUAUCAAUAAGCGGAGGAAAAGAAACUAACAAGGAUUCCCCUAGUAACGGCGAGUGAAGCGGGAAGAGCUCAAAUUUGAAAUCUUAAAGGGUUUCCCUUUACGAAUUGUAGUUUAAAGAAGUGUUUUCUGUUGGAGUUUCGGUAAAAGUUCUUUGGAAUAGGACAUCAUAGAGGGUGAGAAUCCCGUAUUUGACCGUUACUUUCCAGCUGUGUGAUACACUUUCAAAGAGUCGGAUUGUUUGGGAAUGCAGUCCAAGAUGGGUGGUAAAUUUCAUCUAAAGCUAAAUAUUGGCGAGAGACCGAUAGCGAACAAGUACCGUGAGGGAAAGAUGAAAAGAACUUUGAAAAGAGAGUUAAACAGUACGUGAAAUUGUCAAAAGGGAAGCGUUUGACACCAGUGUUGUUUAGUUGAAAAUCAAUUCAAUAGUUUUUGAUUCUAAGUAGUAUUGACUUCAUCAGCUUGCUGCUUUCUUCUCAGAAAUUAUUGAAUGCACUUUUCAGUUAACAAGUCAACAUCUAUUUCUUUUGUUGUAAAAGGGUAAGAGGAAGGUGGCUUGCGCUUCGGCUCAAGUGUUUAUAGCCUUUUAUCUCUGCAAUCGGAGAGAUUGAGGUCUGCAGCGUAGAUCCUUCGGGGUUAGAUACAUUGGUGCUAAGCUAUAGCCUUGUAUAGACAACUUGUUGACUAUGCUCAGUCAUGUAGCUUACUCGCUGAUGCUAUUUUACCUACGCUUAGGAUGUUGAUCUGUAGUGCGUGCGC
RNAcentral lists this ribosomal RNA (775 nucleotides) under uncultured Neocallimastigales. RNAcentral describes it as "partial large subunit ribosomal RNA". It matches the Rfam family "Eukaryotic large subunit ribosomal RNA", at positions 23 to 646 of the family's 3401-position model. Lineage: Eukaryota; Fungi; Neocallimastigomycota; Neocallimastigomycetes; Neocallimastigales. The record is from RNAcentral.